This 73-nucleotide transfer RNA is filed under the name Paramuricea clavata. It matches the Rfam family "tRNA". From Rfam's summary of the family: Transfer RNA (tRNA) molecules are approximately 80 nucleotides in length. Their secondary structure includes four short double-helical elements and three loops (D, anti-codon, and T loops). Further hydrogen bonds mediate the characteristic L-shaped molecular structure. tRNAs have two regions of fundamental functional importance: the anti-codon, which is responsible for specific mRNA codon recognition, and the 3' end, to which the tRNAs corresponding amino acid is attached (by aminoacyl-tRNA synthetases). tRNAs cope with the degeneracy of the genetic code in two manners: having more than one tRNA (with a specific anti-codon) for a particular amino acid; and 'wobble' base-pairing, i.e. permitting non-standard base-pairing at the 3rd anti-codon position. Lineage: Eukaryota; Metazoa; Cnidaria; Anthozoa; Malacalcyonacea; Plexauridae. The record is from Rfam by way of RNAcentral.
GCCUUCGUGGCCUAAUGGAUGCCUUGUCGGCCUCCUAAGCCGAAGAUUGCGGGUUCGAGUCCCGUCGGGGGUA